GUCGGUCAGUAUUUAAAAAAUCUUUGUUUUUACUUUUUUUGUUUUUGCUAUCAUACUAAUUUAAAUAUUACAGUAACUGAAAGCUUUAAUACUUUGACAGAUCAGUCGAGUUGUCCUGCAAAGAGCUGCAAUACCAGUUCAAGUGGAGAUACUGAAGUGGACUUAGAUGACACCAUAAUAUUACAACACAGUCCUACAACAAGACGAAGAGUUGAAGACAUCUCUCUUGCCAAAGCCGUUGCUGUCAUUGGUGAGGAUGCAUCAUCCGUUGAAGGUCAUGUGAAUGUCCUGCAUAUCCAGUACAGCAAGGUGCGAGAGGAUAUACUAAAGAAGUACCCUUUCUUGAAGACAACCUCAGGGUUGUUUGAUGAUGUUGACCGAAUGCAUCCAUCACCUGUCAGUUUAAGCCA
Molecule: long non-coding RNA, 410 nt
Organism: Oryzias latipes (Japanese medaka)
Lineage: Eukaryota; Metazoa; Chordata; Actinopteri; Beloniformes; Adrianichthyidae
Source: RefSeq, a predicted model, not a curated record